GUCACAUGUCCCGCCACCCGCUCCCGUCCAUCGGAGUACUAAACUUAUGCCCCUAAUUACUCCGCAAGUUUCAACUUUUUGUAAUUUUUUUUUUCACUGUAUGGUUCAAAAAAGUUAGGUCUAGGCGGGUAUGUCGCCACAUUUUUGAUAUAACCCUCAAGUUGCCCGCUAGACUGCUUGCAAGUUACUGUGUUUUUAAAGCUUUUUUUUGAGAAAAAUAAUUAUUAAUUUCGAAAAAUCGCUACAUACUCUCCUAGAUAAAGGCAUUGACAUCAUUUUAAAACAAACCCCAAUGAAAUCGGUUGAAAAUUCGCGGAGUAAUCAGGUGCAUAAGUUGGACAUUUUUCUCGAACUGAAACUACUGAUAACGCGUCGUAAAGAAUACCCUUAAUUUGGCUGAAUUUCUGGCUGAUUCAGACGAAAUUCAAGAACCGGAUACUUGGUUUUUGCUUUUGAUUUAUACUCCCAUUCAAGCGGUUCCAUUUGACAAAAGGAAAGAAAUAUCUUUUGAUAUUUUGGAAGAUUUAGUAAACGAACUGGUCCUUGCUAACGUUGAACAUUACACUUGUGUCCAUUAUUGCACUGCAGUCUUCGUCGUUUGGUUGCGAAAGGGUUUUAAUAUUCAGAUUACAAAUGGCCAUCAGACUUCUACAGUGAAGGACUUCGAAUUUUUCUAUCUGGGUAUUCGUUGUCGUGCUCAAGUCCAUCUAGGAUACAACGAGAUCAGUAUGAGGAACAUGAAAACUGGCGUUACGCGUAGCGUGAACUUGGCAAAUUUGUUAGGAACCCCUAAUGAUGAUAAUUUCAGAGUUCGUCACUUUGAUAAUAAGCAGACUCACCAGUUGGCGAAUUGCUUGGUUUCGGAUCUGUAUUUACAUUUCUACCAGAAUAUGUUGGAAGCUAUUGAACUAGAAGCUGGAGUACCUUGAAAUAUGUUUUGAUUCUAGUGCUAAGCUAUGUUACGAAUGUGCGCCUUGUAAUUAGAUGUGUAUUGUUUUUAUUUCAACGAAUGCGUCCCAAUCUCAACAACUACGAUAGAAAUUCGUUUGCCAGAAAUUUUUAAUCACAAAGCUACACAAAAGCAUGGAUUAAAAACUCAGAGAGUGAAAUUUUUUGAAAAAAGUUCUUUUGAAUUUCAAUUUCUACUUUUAUUUUUGGCUGUUUUCGCACUUUUUGAUGAUAUGAUAUGUCGAUAUUAUUGAUUUUUUUAUGUACGAUAAUAUAUUUUGUUUAUUUGAGGA
This is a long non-coding RNA of Planococcus citri (citrus mealybug), 1241 nucleotides long. RefSeq lists it as uncharacterized. The record is from RefSeq and is a predicted model, not a curated record. The transcript is spliced from 4 exons. NCBI's taxonomy places the organism in Eukaryota, Metazoa, Arthropoda, Insecta, Hemiptera, Pseudococcidae.